Molecule: ribosomal RNA, 919 nt
Filed under: Candidatus Phytoplasma asteris-related phytoplasma
Lineage: Bacteria; Bacillati; Mycoplasmatota; Mollicutes; Acholeplasmatales; Acholeplasmataceae
Description: bacterial SSU rRNA
Rfam family: Bacterial small subunit ribosomal RNA
Source: RNAcentral
CUUAGGGAGGAGCUUGCGUCACAUUAGUUAGUUGGUGGGGUAAAGGCCUACCAAGACUAUGAUGUGUAGCCGGGCUGAGAGGUUGAACGGCCACAUUGGGACUGAGACACGGCCCAAACUCCUACGGGAGGCAGCAGUAGGGAAUUUUCGGCAAUGGAGGAAACUCUGACCGAGCAACGCCGCGUGAACGAUGAAGUAUUUCGGUACGUAAAGUUCUUUUAUUAGGGAAGAAUAAAUGAUGGAAAAAUCAUUCUGACGGUACCUAAUGAAUAAGCCCCGGCUAACUAUGUGCCAGCAGCCGCGGUAAUACAUAGGGGGCAAGCGUUAUCCGGAAUUAUUGGGCGUAAAGGGUGCGUAGGCUGUUAAAUAAGUUUAUGGUCUAAGUGCAAUGCUCAACAUUGUGAUGCUAUAAAAACUGUUUAGCUAGAGUAAGAUAGAGGCAAGUGGAAUUCCAUGUGUAGUGGUAAAAUGCGUAAAUAUAUGGAGGAACACCAGUAGCGAAGGCGGCUUGCUGGGUCUUUACUGACGCUGAGGCACGAAAGCGUGGGGAGCAAACAGGAUUAGAUACCCUGGUAGUCCACGCCGUAAACGAUGAGUACUAAACGUUGGGUAAAACCAGUGUUGAAGUUAACACAUUAAGUACUCCGCCUGAGUAGUACGUACGCAAGUAUGAAACUUAAAGGAAUUGACGGGACUCCGCACAAGCGGUGGAUCAUGUUGUUUAAUUCGAAGGUACCCGAAAAACCUCACCAGGUCUUGACAUGCUUCUGCAAAGCUGUAGAAACACAGUGGAGGUUAUCAGUUGCACAGGUGGUGCAUGGUUGUCGUCAGCUCGUGUCGUGAGAUGUUGGGUUAAGUCCCGCAACGAGCGCAACCCUUAUUGUUAGUUGCCAGCACGUAAUGGNGGGGNACUUUAGCA